CUUCCCCGGUCCCUGACGCGACAACGGUCUCUGCCGCACUGGGAUUGGGCGGGCCCUCAUGUCAAUCAAGCGCCGUGCCUGAUGUGGAGGGAGCGGAGGCUGCGCGGCGGAGAGUAGAGAGCUAGAGGGUGAGAAGCGCUGGGCCGGACCAGAACUGUCUUAGCUUUUCCCUCUGCGGCUGCUCUGGUUGGUUACUUUGAGCCUGCCUCCUCAGCGCCGCAGGAGAGACUUAACAGCAAAAAUGACUGUGUCCUGAGUUCAGCCCCCACUGCUCUGGGAGCUUCCCCCUGGUUUCUGCACCUGAAGAAUGUCAUCCCAGCCGAAGGUUCUUAGGAGCGGGGAGCGACAAAGAAAAACAAAGAAAAGCAGACCUGAAAAUUGGGACCUGGGAGAAAUAGACGAGUGCUCUAAACCAGUAUCAUGGCUCCAGUUCCUCUGACAAGGAUUCACAUGGGGUUGCAAUUCUGACUGUGCUGGUGAUGCUGGUUCCAGGUCCCUCAGGAACCCCUCCCCCAGUCUGGUCUGCCCUUGAACUCUAUACUGGCCCCAGGGUAUCCCAGGAUUGUCAGAAAGGCCUGGCCAGGAUUCACCUGGGAGAGGGAUCAGCAUCUCUGCAAAGUUGUUGGAUUGAAAGAACUUUCAUUUUGAGCUACAUCAUUGAAGAGCUUUAAAUCUGAAAAUAAGAAAGACGUUGAACCCUAUUACUCACAUCUCUUUGUCAUUUGAAGCAGAUCCCGAACCACUCAAAAGGACAAAACAAGGAAAUAGCAAUGAAAUUGGAUUCAGUGAAUGGGGUAAGGGUAUUAAGUGUCUGAAAUAUAAGAGAUAAAAAAAUUAGUUUUUACCUUUUUUUCUAUUUUCUAAAUGUUUUGGUGGCUAGAAUAAGAUAUACUUUGAACUCAAGAGCAAUAAAUGUUAAUAUAUUAAAAGUAGCUUUAUGAAAUAUGGAAAGUAUCUUUAUUUCAAAAUACUUCAAAGUAAUCAUCUGAAUAUUUAUCAGAAAUAUUAAGACAACUUAUUAAAUCCUGUAUUAAAAUGAUUGCUUAUUACUUUUUGUUUAUACUAGUCAGAAGUGAUUCUCUUCCACAUUUUAGAUUUUUCAGAGUAAAAAGGAUAUAAUUUUAGACUUUCAAUUGAAUAUAAACUGGGGUUUUUCCACACGAUUUGUGGACAUGGCUGUCUGAUGGUGACUCUUAGGUAUUUAUGCUAAAAAUGUUAUUUUGGGGAUCCUUG
Molecule: long non-coding RNA, 1233 nt
Filed under: Homo sapiens (human)
Lineage: Eukaryota; Metazoa; Chordata; Mammalia; Primates; Hominidae
Description: non-protein coding NCK1-DT:20
Source: RNAcentral